ACCAACUGAGGACUGAUUGAU
RNAcentral lists this microRNA (21 nucleotides) under Callithrix jacchus (white-tufted-ear marmoset). RNAcentral describes it as "cja-miR-9952b". The record is from miRBase by way of RNAcentral. Lineage: Eukaryota; Metazoa; Chordata; Mammalia; Primates; Cebidae.